RNAcentral lists this ribosomal RNA (475 nucleotides) under uncultured bacterium. RNAcentral's name for it is "bacterial SSU rRNA". It matches the Rfam family "Bacterial small subunit ribosomal RNA", at positions 28 to 507 of the family's 1533-position model. The record is from RNAcentral.
GAUGAACGCUAGCGGCAGGCCUAAUCAUGCAAGUCGAGGGGCAGCAUUAACUCGGUUAGAUGGCGACCGGCGCACGGGUGCGUAACGCGUAUGCAACUACCUUUUACAGGGGGAUAGCCCGAAGAAAUUCGGAUUAAUACCCCAUAGUAUGAUGGAAUCGCAUGAUUUAUUAUUAAAGUAUUUCGGUAAAAGAUGGGCAUGCGUUAGAUUAGCUAGUUGGUAAGGUAACGGCUUACCAAGGCGACGAUCUAUAGGGGUUCUGAGAGGAUGAUCCCCCACACUGGUACUGAGACACGGACCAGACUCCUACGGGAGGCAGCAGUAGGGAAUAUUGGUCAAUGGGGGCAACCCUGAACCAGCCAUGCCGCGUGCAGGAAGACGGCUUUCUGAGUUGUAAACUGCUUUUAUAUAGGAAGAAAAGACCAUGCGUGGUUCUAUGACGGUACUAUAUGAAUAAGGACCGGCUAACUCCGUG